This 16237-nucleotide long non-coding RNA is filed under the name Capsicum annuum. RNAcentral describes it as "long non-coding RNA (CANN_LNC008943)". Lineage: Eukaryota; Viridiplantae; Streptophyta; Magnoliopsida; Solanales; Solanaceae. The record is from RNAcentral.
GAUGGUAUCGCAGUUUAUUUUACACCUAAGAAUCCAAAACAUAAAAAGAUUGUGGAGUCCACUCCGGUAAACAUCCAUUUCUAUUUUGAUUAUCCUUUGUGUUCUAACCUAAAUGCGUGGAAGGUUGACAAUCUUGUAUCAGAAUUUCUGCCAAUUCUACACACCAUAAGCACAGGUGCAAAAGAUGAGAGCAGUUGGUUCCAAAUUAAGCAUACAACAAAUAGAAAGUAUAAGCUAGUGUUUUGUCUCUUUGACACUUAUUGCCAAGACAUUGGCAUCGUCUCACAAAGUGGUUAUCAUCGUUUGGUUCUCUCGGACAACCCAAAGCCUUUUUGCUCAAACUGGAUGAUAGAAUUGGAAUGGCAGCAGAAGUAUGAUCUUGUCAUGUUAUGCCUAGAUCUACUCUACGUAAUGUAUAAUAAUAAUGCAUGUAGGUACUUUAUCCUGUUGCAUGGAUGUAAAACUUGAUAAUAAUGUAAUGGGGGUCUGUCUAUGUGCCCCUUAUAUAUGAUCACAUGAUAUAUAUUAUGUAUUGAUAUGGAUAUCAUAAAAGACUCUGGUUCAUUCCUUGAGAAAUUUCUUUAAUCCUCUAUGAUUUCAAAGAAUUAAUUAAGACACAUAAGAAUAAGUACCGAGCUUGGAUCAAUCAAUAUUGUAGAUGCUCAAUGACUUACUGGGACAAUACAUGCAAUAACUUGUUCGACAACUAACUAUGAAAAUCAUGUAGUCAUAUAUACCAUCACUUUUUUCAAGAUACUAUUAUUACUAUAUAAAAAGUCACUGCGAUUAAACAUUAGUACUAAAUAACUAUUCUCAAUUGUCAAUUUGGAAUAAAACAUCACUUGCUUCUUGCCAUUUUGGCCAGUCAUUUUUUUGUCGACAUUCUGUGACAGAUUUAUGUUCAAGAUUCCAACUAUUUUGCAAGAUUUUCGUUGCAACAUUAUAUGCAAAGACAUAAUCCACUACUAUUUCGGAUCUAUUCAAAUUAGUUUCAACAUCACUUGAAUUUAUGGAUAGUUUCAACAUCAUCUUGACCAUUUGUUUUUCUUUUUCUAGGAUUUCGAUCCUUAGAACCUAAUGGUACAUCAGGCUUCAAGCGCACUUUAGAUUCAUUAGCUAUGACACUAGUGGAUGGUCCUUUAGGGACAUCAAUUCAAAUUGGGAAAUAUUCUGUAGGAAUAUAUGAUUUAGUGAUCCUUUUCAAAUCUGUAAAUGCGUCUGGCAUUUGAUUUGCAAUUUUCUGCAGAUGAAUAAUCUUUUGUACUUCUUGUCCACAAAUAGAAGCACGUGAAUCAAGUUGAGAUAGUGAUGGAUUUUUUCACAAAAUUUCUCUUUUGAUGUCAUUAUCUUCUCCCCCUAAUUUUGGAAAAACUAUUUCAUCAAAUCAAUAAUCUGCAAAUCGAGUUGUGAACAUAUCUCUCAUUAAUGGUUCAAGAUAGUGAAUAAUGGAGAGUGAUUCAAACCCAACAUAAGUUUCUAACCUUCUUUGGAGGCCCAUUUUGGAGUGAUUUAGUUAUUCUAUAGGCACAUAUACACCGCAUCCAAAAAUUCUCAGAUGAGAUAUAUUAGGCUCUUGACCAAAAUCAAUUGCAACGGAGAAAAUUUAUGAUAAUUUGUCGGUCUAAGACGAACAAGUGUUGCAGCAUGCAAAAUUUCAUGACCCUAAACAAAGUCGGCAACUUAGUUUUCAUAAGCAAUGGUCUAGCUAUCAAAUGCAGACGUUUAAUUAAUGACUCGGCAAGGCCAUUUUGAGUGUGAACAUGGGGUACAGGAUGUUCAACUCUUAUUCCAAUCGAUAAACAAUAGUAAUUAAAUGCUUGGAAUGAAAAAUCUGUGGCAUUAUCAAGGCGAAUAGACUUAAUUUGAUUAUCAGGAAACUGUGCCCAUAAUCGUAUUAUUUGUACCAACAGUUUUGCAAAUGCCAAGUUGCGAGAUGACAAUAGGCGCACAUGAGACCAUCUAGAAGAAGCAUCUAUUAGGACCAUAAAGUAUCUAAACGACCCACUAGGUAGGUGAAUGGGUCCAUAAAUAUCCCCAUGUAUGCGUUCUAAGAAUGCGGGGGACUCAAUCCCAACUUUUGUUGGCGAUGGACUCACAAUCAUCUUGCCUUGAUAAUAACCAUUACACGAAAAUUCAACAUUCGAAAUAACCUUCAAGUUUUUUAAUGGAUGCCCAUUUGAAUUUUCUAUGAUUCGUCUCAUCAUUAUAGAUCCAGUAUGUCCCAGACGAUCAUGCCAAAGUAUGAAAGUAUUGGAAUUAGUAAACUUCUUGUUUACUAUAGAAUGUGCCUCAAUUGCACAAAUCUUUGGCCAAUAUAGGCCAGAAGAUAAUGUAGGGAACUUUUCUUUAACACAUGUUUGCCAAGAGACAUUCUUGGUGAUACAAAGAUAUUCAAGAUUCAUCUCAUCAAUUGUCUUGAUAUGAUAACCAUGUUCAUGGAUAUCUUUAAAAUCUAUCAAGUUUCUCCGAGACUUAGGAGAAAACAUAAUAUUAUUUAUGAUGAGUUUAGCUUCCUUGGGCAAGAUUAUAAUGGCUUUUCCGAAGACUUCAAUUAAAUUAGCACUACCAGAAAUUGUAGUAAUAUUAAUCUUGACCAUGUUUCGAUGAGACAAAUAUUUUUCGUCUUUGAAUAACGUAUGUGUAGUGCUAGAAUCAAUCAAACAAAUAUCUUCACAAUUGGACAGCUUACUUUGAAAAUUAUCCAUAUCUUCAAGUAAAAUAAUAUACACCAAACUAAAUAUAUAUUAAAUCUUUAUAUAAAGAAAAAGAUUAUACUAUAAGGAAUUAUUAAUCACACUUUACUAAACAAUUAAAAAGAAUAUAUCCAAUUAGUGUGCGAUUAGUACAGCUUAGCAUUUUAUUUUUCAAUAGAAAGAAGAAGAAAAAUGCAUUGUAUUUUUCAAUAAUUAAAAAAAAAAAAUAAAAACACGUAUCCAUGGAGCCAACAAUCAAUUCACUAAUAAACAAUAAUAACCUGCAUGGGCCACCAAUAAUAGCGCCUACCAUUUGCUUUAAUUAAUGUAUCGUCCAAUCAAUGAGACGGCUUAGUAUAAAGAGCACUAGACGAUGAACAUUAUUUCUCCUAAUUCUUCUUCUUGAUCCACUAUUUUUUUUUUUUUUUUUUCUUUUGCAGCACCUACCAUUUGCUUUAAAUAAUGUAUCAUUUUUUCCUUUUUUUUUUGUCAAUAAAUAAUGAAAAAAUUGAAAUUCAAUUUAAUGCAAUAAUAAACCACAAUAAUAGAAUUAAACUAAUUAAUAAACCAUUAGGUUCAUCAUUUAGUAUAAAGAAAUAAAUUAAACGUGGAUGGUUCACAUAAACUAGAUCAUAACAAUUCAUCUUGUCUAUAAAUAGAAGAGGUUAGCAAGAAGGAUACACAAAUCAUCAAAACAAAUUAAUAUCCCUAAAGAUGAAGACCAUAUUACUCUUUCUUUUCCUUGAAAUAAUAUUCCUUCCCUUGUCAGCCUUGGCAACUCCCAACAACCAAGUAUUGAUAGAUGUACUCGAUACUAAUGGUAAUCCCCUCAACAAAAGCAAUAGGUACUGGAUAACUCCAGCCUACACCACUAUGGACGGUGGAGGCAUACGUGUUGCUAAUCUUGAUAGUGAUCUACAACAAAUCACUAUGUGUCCUACAUCAGUAGUACAAUCCCACCUUCCUACAGACGAUGGUAUCGCAGUUUAUUUUACACCUAAGAAUCCAAAACAUCAAAAUAUUGUGGAGUCCACUCCGGUAAACAUCCAUUUCUAUUUUGAUUAUCCUUUGUGUUCUAACCUAAAUGCAUGGAAGGUUGACAAUCUUGUAUCAGAAUUUCUGCCAAUUCUACACACCAUAAGCACAGGUGCAAAGGAUGAGAGCAGUUGGUUCCAAAUUAAGCCUACAACAAAUAGAAAGUAUAAGCUAGUGUUCUGUCUCUUUGACACUUAUUGCCAAGACAUUGGCGUCGUCUCACAAAGUGGUUAUCAUCGUUUGGUUCUCUCGGACAACCCAAAGCCCUUUGUGUUCAAACUGGAUGAUAGAAUUGGAAUGGCAGCAGAAGUAUGAUCUUGUCAUGUUAUGCCUAGAUCUACUCUAUGUAAUGUAUAAUAAUAAUGCAUGCAGGAACUUUGUCCCAUUGCAUGGAUGUAAAACUUGAUAAUAAUGUAAUGGGGGUCUGACUAUGUGCCCCUUAUAUAUGAUCACAUGAUAUAUAUUAUGUAUUGAUAAGGAUAUCAUAAAAGACUCUGGUUCCUUCCUUGAGAAGUCUCUUUAGUCCUCUAUGAUUUCAAAGAAUUAAUUAAGGCACAUAAGAAUAAGUACAGAGCCUGGAUCAAUAAACAUCGUAAAUGCUCAAUGACCAACUGGGAAAAUACAUGCAAUGACCUGUUCGACAACUAACUAUGAAAAUCAUGUAGUCAUAUAUACGAUCACUUUUUUCAAGAUACUAUUAUUACUAUAUUAAAAGUCGCUGCGAUUAAACAUUAGUACUAAAUAACUAUUCUCAGUUGUCAAUUUGGAAUAAAACAUCACUUGCUUCUUACCAUUUUGGCCAGUCAUUUUUUUGUCGACAUUCUGUGACAGAUUGAUGUACAUGAUCCCCACUAUCUUGCAAGAUUUUCGUUGCAACAUUAUAUGCGAAGACAUAAUCCACUACUAUUUCAGAUCUAUUCAAAUUAGUUUCAACAUCACUUGAAUUUAUGGAUAGUUUCUCAUUUUCUUGAGUCUCAGGCUCAUUAAUUCCUUCAAGAAUAUCAACAUUGCUCAAAUCUUGAACUUUCAUAUGAGGAUCUUUCAUAGUGUCAUCUUGACCAUUUGUUUUUCUUUUUCUAGGAUUUCGAUCCUUAGAACCUAAUGGUACACCAGGCUUCAAGCGCGCUUUAGAUUCAUUAGCUAUGACACUAAUGGAUGGUCCUUUAGGGACAUCAAUUCAAAUUGAGAAAUAUUCUGCAGGAAUAUGUGAUUUAGUGAUCCUUUUCAAAUCUGUAAAUGCGUUUGACAUUUGAUUUGCAAUUUUCUGCAGAUGAAUAAUCUUUUGUACUUCUUGUCCACAAAUAGAAGCAUGUGAUUAAGUUUAGAUAGUGAUGGAUUUUUUCACAAAAUUUCUCUUUUGAUGUCAUUAUUUUCUCCCCCCAAUUUUUGGAAAACUAUUUCAUCAAACCGAUAAUCUGCAAAUCGAGCCGUGAACAUAUCUACCAUUAAUGGUUAAAGAUAGUAAAUAAUGGAGGGUGAUUCAAACCCAACAUAAGUUUCUAACCUUCUUUGAAGGCCCAUUUUGGUGCGAUUUAGUUAUUCUAUAGGCACAUAUACACCGUAUCCAAAAAUUCUCUGAUGAGAUAUAUUAGGCUCUUGAUCAAAAAACAAUUGCAACGGAGAAAAUUUAUGAUAAUUUGUCGGUCUAAGACGAACAAGUGUUGCAGCAUGCAAAAUUGCACGACCCUAAACAAAGUGGACAACUUGGUUUUCAUAAGCAAUUGUCUUGCUAUCAACUGCAGACGUUUAAUUAAUGACUCGACAAGGCCAUUUUAAGUGUGAACAUGGGGUACAGAAUGUUCGACUCUUAUUCCAAUCGAUAAACAAUAGUCAUUAAAUGCUUGGAAUGAAAAUUAUGUGGCAUUAUCAAGGCGUAUAGACUUAAUUUGAUUAUGAGGAAACUGUGCCCGUAAUCGUAUUAUUUGUGCCAACAAUUUUGCAAAUGCCAAGUUGCGAGAUGACAAUAGGUGCACAUGAGAACAUUUAGAAGAAGCAUCUAUUAGGACCAUAAAGUAUCUAAACGACCCACUAGGUGGGUGAAUGGGUCCAUAAAUAUCCCCAUGUAUGCGUUCCAAGAAUGCGGGGGACUCAAUCCCAACUUUUGUUGGCGAUGGACUCACAAUUAUCUUGCCUUGAUAAUAAGCAUUACACGAAAAUUCAACAUUCGAAAUAACCUUCAAGUUUUUUAAUGGAUGCCCAUUUGAAUUUUCUAUGAUUCGCUUCAUCAUUAUAGAUCUAGUAUGUCCCAGAUGAUCAUGUCAAAGUACGAAAGUAUUGGAAUUAGUAAACUUCUUGUUUACUAUAGACUGUGUCUCAAUUGCACAAAUCUUUAGCCAAUAUAGGUCAGAAGAUAAAGCAGGAAACUUUUCUAUAACACAUGUUUGCCAAGAGACAUUCUUGGUGAUACAAAGAUAUUCAAGAUUCAUCUCAUCAAUUGUCUUGAUAUGAUAACCAUUUUCAUGGAUAUCUUUAAAAUUCAUUAAGUUUCUCCGAGACUUAGGAGAAAACAUAACAUUAUUUAUGAUGAGUUUAGCUCCCUUGGGCAAAAUUAUAAUGGAUUUUUCGAAGACUUCAAUCAAAUUAGCACUACCAAAAAUUGUAGUAAUAAUAAUCUUGACCAUGUUUAGAUGAGAGAAAUAUUUUUUGUCUCUGAAUAACGUAUGUGUAGUGCCAGAAUCAAUCAAACAAAUAUCUUCACAAUUGGACAGGUUAUUUUGAAAAUUAUCCGUAUCUUCAAGUACAAUAACAUACACCAAGUUAAAUAUAUAUUAAAUCUUUGUACAAAGAGAAAGAUUAUACUAUAAGGAAUUGUUAAUCACACUUUACUAAGCAAUUAAAGAGAAUAUGUUCAAUUAGUGUGUGCUUAGCUUAGCUUAACAUUUUAUUUUUCAAUAGAAAGAAGAAAAAAAUGCAUUGUAUUUUUCAAUAAUUAAAAAAAAAAAAAAGAAUAAAAACACGUAUCUAUGGAACCAACAAUCAAUUCACUAAUAAACAAUAAUAACUUGCAUGGGCCACCAAUCAAGUCUCUUUUUUUUUCUGUUUUCUUUUUCUUUUGUAGCGCCUAUCAUUUGCUUUACUUAAUGUAUCGUCCAAAUUUUUUUUUUUUUUUUUUUUCAGCACCUACCAUUUGCUUUAAAUAAUGUAUCAUUUGUUCCUUUCUUUUUUGUCAAUAAAUAAUGAAAAAAUUGAAAUUCAAUUUAAUGCAAUAAUAAACCACAAUAAUAAAAUUAAACUAAUUAAUAUUAAUCAAAAUCUAAUACUCAUGCAAACAACUACUUUUACAUGAUUUUUAUUCACUAACUCUUAUUAAUAGUAAAAAAAAUAAAUUAAAAAUUAUUCAUUCUUCCAUGUUUACGAAACUGUCACCAAUCAAGUGAUCAAUUUCUUUCUACAUCCAACCAUGUGAUGUCAACAUUAUUUUCAGUGAGAAAGUUAGCUCGAAAUUUCUUUCUUUUUCUUUAGUGAUGCUAGAUAAAGAUCAACCAAGUGCUUGAGAGCACGACAAUCACGUGAAUAAUGUCCUUUUUCACCACAUCAAAAAUAAGUAAUUGUUUCACGUUUCUCAUCUUUUUUUUUGUUCAACCAAUGAUUAACACCCGGAAUAGAAUUUCUUUCUUGGUCAUCACGACCACGACCACGACCAUAACCACGACCACGUCUAGGGUCGCGACCUUUUCCACGCCUAGCAUGGUAAGCAUGCAUAUCAUUCACCUCAGGGAAUGGUGCAGAUACAGUAAGUGGAUUCUUGUAAUUUUUCGUCAAAAAAUUAUUAUUUUAUUCAGCCACGAGAAGAUGAGAACUCAGUUCAGUAUAUUUCUUGAAACCUUUUUCUCGAUAUUGCUUCUGUGAUAGUAUAUUCGAGGUAUGAAAGUGGAGAGCGUCUUUUCCAUCAUAUCGUCAUCAUUGACCGUCCCUCCACAUAGUUUCAAUUAAGAAAAAAUUCUGAACAUGGCAGAAUUGUACUCAUGAACAGACUUAUAGUCUUGAAACCUUAGAUGCAUUCAUUCAUAUUGUGAUUUUGGGAGGAUGACCAUCUUUAAGUGGUCAAGCCUUUCUUUUAGGAUAUUCCACAAUACGAGUGGAUCCUUAGUAGUAAGGUAUUCCAUUUUUAGAAUUUCGUCAAGAUGAUGAUGGAAUAAAAUCAUAGCAUUAGCACGAUUUUGACUAGAUGCUGUAAUUUCUUUCUUUAUGGUGUCUCCAACACCCAUAACAUCUAGGUGGAUAUCAACAUCCAGCACCCAUGAAAUAUAGUUCUUGCCCGAACAUUGAAGUGUAACGAACUCACACUUAGUAAGAUUAUUAGACAUACGAAAAAGGGAAGAAAAAUAAUACCUUAGCCUUUAACUUUGAGAUGGUGGAGUCUUGUGCUGAUAACAUUUUAUGAAAUAACAAAGAAUAAAGAACAAGAGUAUAGAGAGAAGAGAGAGUAAUUGUUAAUUCUCUUGAGGAUGAUUUAAAAUGAAGGAAUUCCUUCUAUUUAUAGGGAAAAUUUGCUCCUAUUUUCACACUAAAAAGAUAAAUACAUCAAGUCCUGAUAGACAUCAACUAAUUCUUGAUAGAUCUUGACAGACAUUCACUAUAACUGAUAUACAUCAAUAUCAUAACAGGAGCAAAAUAAUUGUCUAUUCUUGAUAUGUUAAAAGUGACAAAUAAAAGUGAAAAUCUUAUCUUUUAAAUAAUGAACAAGUAACAUGAUAGAUGGAGUAAAUGACUUCUCCACAUCUACUUUAUAUAUUAUAAUAAAAACAUAUGAUUUUUUUACGAAUAUAUUAUUGGGUUCAUAGUAUAUGAAAGAAGUGUGAAUGAAAAACUGGAGAAUAAAAUGGUGGAGGGGAAGGAGACACUAAAAUGGAAAGUGUACUCCCAAAUUAGAAAGUUUACUCUUUCUCCCACAUUGGUGGAAGAAGAGAACUUGAAAGUUUUUUAUAAUCAAGAACACUUACUCCACAUGACAAGUGAGACAAGAAAUAAUAGAUGCCUCUCGCCAUUGUCGUCGUCGCUCGCUCGGCUCGACUUCGACUUCGGCUUCGGCUUCGGAUUUGGAUUUGGAUUUGGAUAAUGAUCGAUCGAUGAGAUCUAUCUUUUUGGACAAACUUCUGCAGUGUUUCAACAGUUGCACUGUUUCAAGUGAACUGAUGCAUUAUUUUCAAACUGGUGCUUCAAAAAUGAUAUUGUUCUGAACUGAUAAACUGAGGCUAUAGAAGGUUGGAACGGGUUCAAAAUGAUGCUUCAGUAGGAUGUAAUACUUCAAUGAAGUGACACACUGAUUCAUGAAAUGAGAUGACUGUUCAGGAAAAGAUGCAAUCUUUGAUGAACAGACAUGAACUUACAGCAAAGGUGUAACCUUUGGAGUGAACCAUUGCCUCUUUUCAGAAGAGGCAUGUUAUGGCUAUAUAAACCUGCUUUCAUCCACAGGUUUUGAUAUGAAAUUUCAGAAUAAAAAAUACUCUUCUUGUCUUCAAAAAUUCUGUGUAAUCAUUCAAACUGUUGAGUGUGUUCGACGAGUCUAAAUAUUUGAGGUACCGCUAUAUUUGGAUUGAAGGCCAUUUUAUCCUGGGAUGAAAAAUUCCAUAACCUCGGGUACAGUGAGGGGAAUUGUUUCCUUAAGGAAACUCCGUGAAUUCAGACGACUUGGCCUUAUUCAUUUCUGUUUCAUCUUGAUUUCUGAAAAUAAAAUACACUUCUAAGAAAGAUCACUUUGAUCCUUUGUUGAGGGUAUUUUUUGUACUUUAUUGAGUUCUUAUUUUAAACUUGAACUAGUUGAAGUUGUUUUUCUACAUACACAGAUUCUGCGUACCCGUAGAAAGAAAUAACAAUCUUAAGGAAACAAAUUUCAGAAUCUGUAUAGCUUGUUUUUGGAAAUUACAGUUUUAACUUUCUACUCUGCCUGAACUUAACUAGUAAUUUGAAGUCAUAAAAACUUCAUCACAAGUUAAAGAUCAUUCGGUUGACAAUUGGAAGUCAUAAAAACUUCAUUGUCAACUAGAAACAAGAAGAAAAGUUUAAAGUUGCUUAACUUUAUAAGUAGUAAUCUGAAAAUACUAAGUAUUUUUUAUCUUGUGGUGACAGGAAAAAUGACAAGCGAUAGUCAAAUGCAAGAUGCGGCAACGUCUGUGGGGACAACUAAUAUUGCCACUUCAAGUCGCACAAAUGCUCCGCCUACAAUGGAAUCGACGGAGAAGCCCGAAAAAUUUACGGGCAUUGACUUUAAACGAUGGUAGCAAAAGAUGUUUUACCUCACCACUCUGUGUAUGCAACGGUUCACUAGAGAAGACGCUCCUGACGUGCCCGAGGGAACCUCGGACAAAGGGCAUUUCAUAAUUGUAGAAGCUUGGAAACAUUCAGAUUUCCUUUGCAGGAAUUAUAUUCUGAGUGGUCUCCAAGAUGACCUCUACAAUGUUUACAGUGGAACUAAGACAUCGAAGAAAUUAUGGGGGGAACUUGAACGAAAAUAUAAAACAAAGGAUGUGGGAAUUAAGAAAUUCCUUGUUGCACGAUUCCUGGACUUUAAAAUGAUAGAUACGAAAUCGGUUGUCUCUCAAGUGCAGGAGUUGCAAGUCAUCAUAUAUGAUCUCCUAGCAGAAGGUAUAUGUGUGAAAAAUACCUUAGUUGAACAAAUUUAAAAAGUUCUUAAUACUCACAAAAAUUGUUUUUAGGUUUGAUUGUGAAUGAUGCAUUUCAAGUAGCAGCGAUAGUUGAGAAGCCACUACCUUUGUGGAAAGACUUCAAAAAUUACUUGAAGCAUAAACGCAAGGAGAUGACUGUUGAAGAUCUUAUUGUCUGACUAUUGAAGAUGAUAAUAAAGCUACUGAGAGAAGGUCAAAAGGGAAUUCUACAAUUAAUGGAGCCCAUAUUGUAGAAGAUGACCAAAACAAUUCUAAGAAAAGAAAAAAAGCUGAACGAGGAAGCAAUCAACCCAAGAAGAAAUUCAAGAAAAAAUGCUUCAAUUGUGACAAGAUUAGCCACAAGUCCACGGAUAACCCGAAGAAAGGCAAGAAAACGGAUCAAGCAAAUAUGAUUGAAUCCAACAAAGAAUGCGGUGAUUUAUGUUCUAUGUUCUCAGAAUACAACUUGGGGGGAAAUCCUCUUGAAUGGUGGAUGGAUUCAGGUUCCACCCACCAUGUAUGUACCAACAAAGAGUUGUUUUCGUCAUUCGCUCCAGAUCAAGUAGAAGAAAUGAUCUACAUGGCUAACUCCGCUAUUGCUAAGGUAGAAGGAGCAGGAGAAAUAUGUUAGAAAAUGACUUCAAGAAAGGUCUUAACACUUAACAAUGUCUUUUAUGUUCCGGAGUUACGUAGGAAUUUAAUUUCUGUUUCACUUCUAGACAAGAACGGAUUCAAAUGUGUAACCAUUUCUGAAAAAAUUGUAAUUAGCAAAGGAGAAAUGUAUGUGGAAAAAGUCUAUCUGACCGAAGGCCUUUAUAAGAUGAAUGUAAUGACUGUUGAAAUAAACAAAAGUUCAAAUUCUUAUUAUUUUCUUGAGUCUUAUGAUUUAUGGCAUGAACAUUUUGCCCAUGUUAAUUAUAAAAUGUUACGAAAAUUGAUUAACUUAGAAGUUUUACCAAACUUUGAGUGCACUAAAUCAAAGUGUCAAAUGUGUGUGGAAUCGAAGUAUGCACGGUAUCCUUAUAAGUCCGUUAAAAGGAAUUCCAAUCCCUUAGACUUAAUACAUACUGACAUUUGUGAUAUGAAGUCAACACCAUCACGUGGUGGGAAAAAGUAUUUCAUAACUUUUAUUGACGAUUACACGAGAUAUUGUUAUGUCUAUCUGCUAAAUAGUAAGGAUGAAGCAAUAGAUGCGUUUAGGCAAUAUAAAACUGAAGUUGAAAAUCAAUUAGACAAAAAGAUCAAAAUCAUAAAAAGUGAUAGGGGCGAAGAAUAUGAAUCUCCCUUUGCGUAAAUAUGUGUAGAGAAUGAAAUCAUCCAUCAAACUAUGGCCCCAUAUUCACCUCAAUCUAAUGGAAUUAUGGAAAGGAAAAACCAAACUUUGAAGGAAAUCAUGAAUGCCUUCCUUAUAAGUUCUGGAUUACCGCAAAACUUGUGGGGGGAGGAUAUCCUUACGUCUAACCGUAUACUCAAUAGAGUUCCCCAUAGUAAGAUACAAUCAAUUCCUUAUGAAAAGUGGAAAAUAAGAAAACCCAACUUGAAAUAUUUCAAAGUGUGGGGGUGUCUAGCAAAGGUCCAAGUUCCUGUGCCUAAAAGGGUUAAGAUAGGACCGAAGACGGUGGACUAUGUGUUCAUAGGAUAUGCUAAAAGCAGUAAGGCAUGUCGAUUUUUGGUUCAUAAAUCCAAACAUUUGGAUAUUAAUGAAAAUACGGUAAUUGAAUCAGACAAUGCUGAAUUCUUUGAAAACAUUUAUUUGUAUAAAACUAGAUAUGAACAGUCUAGUGGGGGGUCUAAACGACCUCGUGAUGAACCAAUUGAAAAUGAACAUAAUGAAUAAAAUCCAAGAUGUAAAACACGUCAAAGAACGUUUACUUCGUUUGGAGUGGAUUUUGUGACAGUUUUUUGGAAAAUGAGCCUCAAACAUUUAAGGAAGCAAUGGCAUCUUCGAAUUCAUCCUUUUGGAAAAAGGCAGUCAAUAGUGAGAUAGAUUCAAUCUUAAGCAACAAUACAUGGGAAUUGGUUGACCUUCCUCCCAGAAAUAAACCUUUAGGUUCCAAAUGGAUCUUCAAAAGAAAGAUGAAACUGGAUGGUACUAUUGAUAAAUACAAGGCAAGACUUGUAGUAGAAGGCUUCAAACAGAGAGAAGGCCUUGAUUACUUCGAUACAUACUUGCCAGUAACAAGGAUAACAUCGAUUCGAAUGUUAAUUGCCUUGGCUGCGGUAUAUGGCCUUGAGAUCCAUUAAAUGAAUGUGAAAACCGCUUUCCUAAAUGGAGAAUUGAAGGAAGAAAUAUACAUGGAACAACCUGAGGAUUUUGUGGUUCAUGGAACAACCUGAGUAUUUUGUGGUUCCAGGAAAGAAAAAUAAGGUGUGUAAUUUUAUUAAGUCAUUGUAUGGACUAAAGCAAGCACCUAAACAAUGGCAUACGAAGUUUGACCAAACUAUGUUGGCAAACAGAUUCAAAAUAAAUGAAUGUGAUAAAUGUGUUUAUAUUAAAGACAUUCCAAAUCACCAAGUCAUUAUUUGUUUAUAUGUGGAUGAUAUGUUAAUCAUCAGUAGAGACAUUUCUAACAUAAAUGCAACAAAAUGAAUGCUCGAGAGAAAGUUUGAUAUGAAAGACCUUGGAGUUGCGAAUGUGAUCUAAGGUAUAAGAAUCCAAAGAACUCCACAAAGGUUGGCAUUGUCACAGUCUCAUUAUGUCGAAAAGGUACUUGACAAAUUCAAGUAUAUGAAAUUCGGUAUUGCCAAGACUCAAUUGGAUGCGAGCUUUGCACUUCGAAAGAAUGAAGAUGAAAGUGACUUGCAAUUGGAGUAUGCAAGAGUAUUGGGAUGUUUAAUGUAUAUAACGAACUGUACACGACCAAACAUAGCAUGCGCUAUCAGUAAAUUGAGUUGGUACACGAUUAAUCCCAACAAAACUCAUUGGAUGGCAUUAAAAGAGUUUUGGGGUUUCUUAAAUACACUCAAGAUUAUGCUUUGCAUUAUAAUAAAUAUCCUGUGGUACUUGAAUGAUCUAGUGAUGCAAAUUGGAUCACCGGAUGAAACGAAGUAAAAUCCAUAAGUGGAUAUGUAUUUACUAUUGGUGGAGGAGCGGUCUCUUGAAAAUUAUCCAAACAGACUUGUAUUGCUCGCUCUACAAUGGAAUAUGAAUUUAUCGCAUUAGAUAAAGCCAGUGAAGAAGCAGAAUGACUCCACUAUUUCUUGGAAGAUAUUCCUUAUUGGCCCAAACCAGUGGAACCAGUAUGUAUACACUGUGCUAGCCAAGAGGCAAUAGGCAAGGCAGGGAGCAUGAUGUACAACGGUAAAUCUCGUCACGUACAACGGAGACAUAAUACCGUUAGAAAACUUCUCUCUAGUGGAAUUAUCACUAUUGACUAUGUAAAGUCAAAGUAUAAUAUGUCGGAUCCAUUUACAAAAGGCCUAUCUAGAGAAGGAGUGGAAAGAACAUCUAAGAGAAUGGGUUUAAGGCGUAGGAUGAGCCAGCAUGGAGGUUACUCUGCCUAGCAGACUGGAAAUUCCAAGAGCUAGGUUUAAGGAGAUCAAACAAAGUUGUGUCUGACAGGUUCAACAUUGUCAAUUACCCAACUCAUUCUCAUGAUGUAGACAAUGUUUAGUAAACAAGGAUACGACUUAAGGUGAAAAGUCUUUUAAUGCUUAUCUAAAUUUGGCAGAUUAGACCAAAUAGUUUAAUCUACAGGAUUGAAUGUUUAGAAAUCACCUAUGUGAGAGCGAAGUGGAAGCCUCUUCAAAGAGAAUGUUAGUAAAGGAUUAUUCUCCAAGCUCUCAUGAAACCGGGACGUGCUUAUUGCUGAAAAGAACAAAACCAUGAGAACCAUAAAUUGUAAAAGGCUGGUUGUGUGACAUAUAUUGUCUAGGUGUACAUUAAAGCUCGACGGUUCAAGGAUAUCAAAUCUACCGAUUGACCGAGUGCAUCCGAUGCAUGUUCACUACGGAAAGUUUAAAGGGAAACCCACUUAUCCAGAUGCAAUCAGUCUUUGCCUGAUGAUCACAUACUUGUCCGUAAAAUUUUUAUGAUAAAUAACCAUUCCCCAUUCAUGUGGGGGAUUGUUGGGUUCAUAGUAUAUGAAAGAAGUGUAAAUGGAAAAAUAGAGAAUAAAAUGGUAGAGGGGAAGAAGAUACUAAAAUGGAAAGUGUAAUCCUAAAUUAGAAAAUUUACUCUUUCUCCCACAUUGGUGGAAGAAGAGAACUUAAAAGUGUUUAUAAUCAAGAACACUUACACCACAUGGCAAGUGAGGCAAGAAAUAAUACAUGCCUCGUGCCGUCAUCGUCGUCGCUCGCUCGGCUCAGCUUUGGAUUUGGAUUUGGAUUUGGAUUUGGAUUUGGAUAUCGAUCGAUGAGAUCUAUCUUUUUGGACAAUCUUUAUUUGAAUUCUGAAGAAUGCUAAGGAAAAAUACUGUAAAAUUUUUCUGCAGUGUUUCGACAGUUGCACUAUUUCAAGUGAACUGAUGCAUUAUUUUUGAACUGGUGCUUCAGAAAUGAUACAUUAUUUUGAACUGGGGCUACAGAAGGUUGCAAUGGUUCGAAAUGAUGCUUCAAAAGGAUGUAAUCCUUCAAUAAAGUGAGGUGUUACCUUUGGAGUGAACCAUUGCCUCUUUUCAGAAGAGACAUGUUAUGGCUAUAUAAACCUGCUUUCAUCCACAGGUUUUGAUACAAAAUUUCAGAAUAAAAAAACCUCUUCUUGUCUUCAAAAAUUCUGUGUGAUCAUUCAAACUGUUGAGUGCAUUCGAUGAUUCCAAAUAUUUGAGGUACCGCUAUAUUUGGAUUGAAGGCCAUUUUAUCCUGGGAGAAAAAAUUUCAUAAAAAAAUUCAUAACCUCGGGUACAGUGAGGGGAAUUAUUUACUUAAGGAAACUCUGUGAAUUCAGAUGACUUGGCCUUAUUCAUUUCUGUUUCAUCUUGAUUUCUGAAAAUAAAAUACACUUCUAAGAAAGAUCACUUUGAUCUUGUGUUGCGCAUAUUUUUUGUACUUCAUUGAGUUCUUGUUUUAAACUUGAACUAGUUGAAGUUGUCGUUCUACAUAUACAGAUUCUGCGUACCCGUAGAAGGAAAUAACAUAUAUAUAUCAUCAUUUAGUAUAAAGAAACAAAUUAAACGUGGAUGGUUCACAUAAAUUAGAGCAUAACAAUUAAUCUUGUCUAUAAAUAGAAGAGGUUAGAAAGAAGGAUACACAAAUCAUUAAAACAAAUUAAUAUCCCUCAAGAUGAAGACCAUAUUACUCUUUCUUUUCCUUGAAAUAGUAUUCCUUCCCUUGUCAGGCUUGGCAACUCCCAACAACCAAGUAUUGAUAGAUGUACUCGAUAUUAAUGGUAAUCCCCUCAACAAAAGCAAUAGGUACUGGAUAACUCCGGCCUACACCACUAUGGACGAUGGAGGCAUACGUGUUGCUAAUCUUGGUAGUGAUCUACAACAAAUCACUAUGUGUCCUACAUCAGUAGUACAAUCUCACCUUCCUACAGACGAUGGUAUCGUAGUUUAUUUUACACCUAAGAAUCCAAAACAUCAAACGAUUGUGGAGUCCACUCCGGUAAAUAUCCAUUUCUAUUUUGAUUAUCCUUUGUGUUCUAACCUAAAUGCGUGGAAGGUUGACAAUCUUGUAUCAGAAUUUCUGCCAAUUCUACACACCAUAAGCACAGGUGCAAAGGAUGAGAGCAGUUGGUUCCAAAUUAAGCAUACAACAAAUAGAAAGUAUAAGCUAGUGUUUUGUCUCUUUGACACUUAUUGCCAAGACAUUGGCAUCGUCUCACAAAGUGGUUAUCAUCGUUUGGUUCUCUCGGACAACCCAAAGCCUUUUUGCUCAAACUGGAUGAUAGAAUUGGAAUGGCAGCAGAAGUAUGAUCUUGUCAUGUUAUGCCUAGAUCUACUCUACGUAAUGUAUAAUAAUAAU